GAUGAACGCUGGCUACAGGCUUAACACAUGCAAGUCGAGGGGAAACGCCGGGGAAGCUUGCUUCGCCGGGCGUCGACCGGCGCACGGGAGAGUAACGCGUAUCCAACCUGCCUCUGACUGAGGUAUAACCCGUCGAAACUCAGCCUAAUACGGCAUGGUAUCGUCUGCGGGCGUCCAACGACGAUUCAAGGUUUCAUCGGUCGGGGAUGGGUAUGCGGCUGAUUAGCUUGUUGGCGGGGUAACGGCGCACCAAGGCUACGAUCAGUAGGGGUUCGGAGAGGAAGGUCCCCCACAUGGGAACUGGGACACGGUCCAAACUCAUACGGGAGGCAGCAGUGAGGAAGACUGGUCAAUGGGCGAGAGCCUGAACCAGCCAAGUAGCGUGCAGGAAGGCGGCCCUAUGGGUUGUAAACUGCUUUUAUGCGGGGAUAAAGUGAGGGACGUGUCCCUCAUUGCAGGUACCGCAUGAAUAAGGACCGGCUAAUUACGUG
RNAcentral lists this ribosomal RNA (491 nucleotides) under uncultured bacterium. RNAcentral describes it as "partial 16S ribosomal RNA". It matches the Rfam family "Bacterial small subunit ribosomal RNA", at positions 28 to 507 of the family's 1533-position model. The record is from RNAcentral.